Molecule: long non-coding RNA, 881 nt
Organism: Triticum urartu
Lineage: Eukaryota; Viridiplantae; Streptophyta; Magnoliopsida; Poales; Poaceae
Source: RefSeq, a predicted model, not a curated record
UAGUCCCUACCUGAUACCUAAUUUGGUCCCGAUGCCCCAACUCAUCGAAAUCCAAAUCCCGUGGGCAGAGGCAGCGCACGAACCAAAUCUUGUCCGAGGGCGGCGGCGGUGGCGGCCGCCCAAAUCCAUAUUCCAAGUUGGGCGAGCGCUCCUAGUAGAGGUGAUGCUCCUUCUCCCGAUGGCUCCUUGUCGUUGUGUGGCUAGCGGCCCAGUUCGAGGCGGACCAAAUCGGAGCUCAUCAACAACAGCCUCCGCCCCACGGUGUGCUUGUCGCAGACUCCCUUCUAAAGCUCCUACACCGGUGGGUUUGUCGCCUCUCUCUCCCUCCCCCUCCCUCCCUCCAUCCCCAUUAACAACCCGCGUCCUCCUCCCCCUAGUCGGCAGCAAGCCGGUGGUGGUCUCCUCGGCUCCUUCCCAUCCGGGCCGUGCAACGAGUUUAACAGAGAAUAAUAAGAAGUUUCCCAGUAUAUAUGACUUAUGAUUCCCAAAGAAGGUGGCAUCGAGGGUCGGCAAAUUGUGCAUCGAAUACUAAGAGUCAACAAUUGGAAGUGUCCUAGUAUAUAUGCUGAUACACAGACUGUUGCGAUAGGUGGUGGCUCUCUGCUCCUUCAAAACCGACCUGUGUGACAUGGUGCAAACCUAAAAGGCGUCACCAUGGUGGUUAAUUUCCCUGGUAAAUAGAUGUUAUUUGAUUUAGCUAGUACAUUUGUGCUCGAUCUCAAAUUUUAUUAGCUAGUUGAUUUAUGCCGCAUCUCUAUAGUUCUAUUUUCUUGUACUUGUUCAUGUCAAACCUGCUCAUGUGGGAAUGAAGCAUAUUGGUAACUUCAUUUGAUUAUGUAUUGCUACUGUUUAUGGUGGUUUAAAAUUCUAUUUUGGUUUUC